CAGCCGCCGCGGGAAAACGGAGGGGGCUAGCGUUGUUCGGAAUUACUGGGCGUAAAGGGCGCGUAGGCGGCCAUUCAAGUUAGAUGUGAAAGCCCUGGGCUCAACCUAGGAAUUGCAUUUGAUACUAUUUGGCUUGAGUUCGGGAGAGGUGAGUGGAAUUCCCAGUGUAGAGGUGAAAUGCGUAGAUAUCGGAAGGAACACCUGUGGCGAAAGCGGCUCACUGGACCAUUUCUGACGCUGAUGCACGAAAGCUAGGGGAGCAAACAGGAUUAGAUACCCGUGUAGUCCCUGUCUCUUAUAC
Molecule: ribosomal RNA, 301 nt
Filed under: uncultured bacterium
Lineage: Bacteria
Description: partial 16S ribosomal RNA
Rfam family: Bacterial small subunit ribosomal RNA
Source: RNAcentral